CCGGGGGCGACAGCAAUAUGAAGGUCAGGCUGAAGACCUUACCCGAUUAGCUGAGAGGUGGUGCAUGGCCGUCGUCAGUUCGUACUGUGAAGCAUCCUGUUAAGUCAGGCAACGAGCGAGACCCACGUCCACAGUUGCCAGCAUACCCUCCGGGGUGAUGGGUACACUGUGGAGACCGCCGCUGCUAAAGCGGAGGAAGGAGUGGGCAACGGUAGGUCAGUAUGCCCCGAAUCUCCCGGGCUACACGCGGGCUACAAUGGUUGGUACAAUGGGCAUCUACCCCGAAAGGGGAAGGAAAUCUCUUAAAGCCAAUCGUAGUUCGGAUCGAGGGCUGCAACUCGCCCUCAUGAAGCUGGAAUCCGUAGUAAUCGCGUUUCAACAGAACGCGGUGAAUACGUCCCUGCUCCUU
Molecule: ribosomal RNA, 409 nt
Filed under: uncultured Methanosaeta sp.
Lineage: Archaea; Methanobacteriati; Methanobacteriota; Methanomicrobia; Methanotrichales; Methanotrichaceae
Description: bacterial SSU rRNA
Rfam family: Archaeal small subunit ribosomal RNA
Source: RNAcentral